Molecule: non-coding RNA, 501 nt
Organism: Nycticebus coucang (slow loris)
Lineage: Eukaryota; Metazoa; Chordata; Mammalia; Primates; Lorisidae
Source: the annotation of a RefSeq genome assembly
GGCAGAACUGGGGGAGCUGUGCCUCAGCUGUGGGCACAGAAGGCAGGACGCAGGACAGUCCCCACCAUGGCCUGGUCCCCUCUCCUCCUCACUCUCCUGACUCACUGCACAAGGGCCUGGGCCCAGUCUGUGCUGACUCAGCCACCCUCAGUGUCUGGAGCCCUGGGGGAGACGGUCACCAUCUCCUGCUUGGGAAGCAGCAGCAACAUCGGGGGUGGGAAUUAUGUGCACUGGUACCAGCAGCUCCAGGGAACGGCCCCUAAACUCAUCAUCUAUGGUAACAGCAACAGACCUUCGGGGGUCCCUGGCAGAUUCUCUGGCUCCAAGUCUGGUAGUUCAGCCUCCCUGUCCAUCACGGGACUUCAGAGUGAAGAUGAGGCUGAUUAUUUCUGUCAGUCCUAUGACAACAGCCUGCGUGCUCACACAGUGCUCCAGGCCCACGAGGAAGUGAGACAAAAACCCCCUUCUCACUCGCCAAGAGGGUGAACACCCGGCAGCUGC